Molecule: long non-coding RNA, 1594 nt
Organism: Mustela erminea (ermine)
Lineage: Eukaryota; Metazoa; Chordata; Mammalia; Carnivora; Mustelidae
Exons: 3
Source: RefSeq, a predicted model, not a curated record
AGUUGCGCUGUGCCUUCAGAGGUGUCUGGCUGGACGCUAGAGAGGGGGUGGGGAGGAGCAUGAGAUCAGCCUGUGGAGGCAGGCACAGACUGCAGGACAAGGGUCUUCUCACCUAGAUCUAAUUACCAGCUUAUAGGAACUAAGGAAGAUAGAUGAAGAAAUUCAAAAAACCAAACCAAACCAAAUGACAAAAACCAAAAACCACAGCAGAAAACAUCUCAAGGAGGCAAUCAGCCAGAUCCAGAAUGAGGAAGAUUCUACGGGAUGAAGAUUCUGUUUCUCAUUGAAUCAGUGGCUUGCAAACAAAAAGAUUAAAGGGAGGGAAUUCCCUUAGGAAGCCAAAGCCACGUGUGGGGCCUUGUUUAUGUCUUGGAACAAAUCAGCUGUAAAAGCCAUCUCUGAGAUAAUCAAAGAGAUUUGAACGUGAACUUGGUAUUGGAAGAGAGUAAGGAGUAAUUGCUAAUUUUGUUGGCUACAAUAAUGGUCCGGUGGUUACAUUUGUUACUUGUUAGUUAUAGAUGCAAGUAAAUGAGAUGGCAGAUGUCUGGGCUGUGCUCUCAAACACCCGGAAAGAAGCUGGACAGGGAACCAGCUCUCUGGGGGAUGGGUCCCGUUCUAAAUGCCACUGGUCAGUUUGUCUUUGGUAACAGAGUGUGGCCCCACUGCUGUUCACACCACGAGGGACCGCAUGGCCACCGAGAGAGGAUCCAAGGCAGGGGACCACACCCUGGUCAGAGGUCCCCUGUCCUACUCCCUUCCUGUCAGUUUCUGGGACCUUUCUUGCCUUCAGUGACUUGGACGCUUUGAAGAAGGAUGGCCAGGCAUUUUGUGGACGGCCCCAGUGUGGACUUGCCUGCUGUUUUCUCACCAUCAGACCGAGGUUAUGGAUUUUUGGGAAGAAUACGAGGGUGAAGUGACUUUCUCACUUCAACCUCUUUUCAGGUUGCAAAACCUCGGGAAGCACAGGAUGUCCACGUGACUUAGGCUCAUUAACCUUCAUCUCUUGGUUAAGGCUGUGUCUGCCAGGCUCGUCCACUACUCUUCCUUUUCUAUACUCAGUGACUGAGUCACUAAACCCAGCCCACACUCCGGGGAUUUUAAGAGUGGAGGAAGGUCACGGAGAGAUUUAAGCAGGUUUAGUCGUGUCCUAGAAGAACUCCCUGCCUGACACGCGAGUGGGCAGUGAGAGUGGACAUGACCUGGAUUUGAGGGACGUUCCCAGUGUGACUCAGCACAAGCUGGGUCUCCGUGGCGCGCGAGGAAUGGGAGGAGGAUGGCCCACGGUUGGGGGGCUGGCGGCCUUUCUCGGCCCCUAAGCCAAGGCCUGCGCGCCCCCAGGAGCUCGUGUGUCCCCUGCCCGCCAGUGAGAAGCCCCUCUCCGCUCCUGGGUCCCGCCUCGACUCGGGGCGGAUCCCUGAGGGCUACUGGGGCCUAGAGACUGGCACACAGACAGCAGGAGUGUGGGGUCACCAAGGAGGGUCGCAGUUGGACCGCAGCGGUCGCGGGGCUGAAAGAAGCUGGAGGAAAACGAGUCCGCCAAAACCCUUGCUCCCCGCACGGCUAGCGCGGGUCACGCGUGUGUAACCAGGGCGUC